This 85-nucleotide microRNA precursor is filed under the name Callithrix jacchus (white-tufted-ear marmoset). RNAcentral's name for it is "microRNA cja-mir-548c precursor (cja-mir-548c-2)". Its record names the gene cja-mir-548c-2. The record is from miRBase by way of RNAcentral. Lineage: Eukaryota; Metazoa; Chordata; Mammalia; Primates; Cebidae.
AUAGUAGGUUGGGACAAAAGUAAUUGUGGAUUUUGUCACAAUAGGCAUGGCUCAAAACGCAAUUACUUUUGCACCAACCUAAUAU